GGACCGUUAACUCAGUUGGUUAGAGGACCCGGCUCAUAACCGGGCAGCCCAGGGUUCGAGUCCCUGACGGUCCA
Molecule: transfer RNA, 74 nt
Filed under: Bacteriophage sp.
Also listed under: 1 other name
Description: tRNA-Met
Rfam family: tRNA
About the family: Transfer RNA (tRNA) molecules are approximately 80 nucleotides in length. Their secondary structure includes four short double-helical elements and three loops (D, anti-codon, and T loops). Further hydrogen bonds mediate the characteristic L-shaped molecular structure. tRNAs have two regions of fundamental functional importance: the anti-codon, which is responsible for specific mRNA codon recognition, and the 3' end, to which the tRNAs corresponding amino acid is attached (by aminoacyl-tRNA synthetases). tRNAs cope with the degeneracy of the genetic code in two manners: having more than one tRNA (with a specific anti-codon) for a particular amino acid; and 'wobble' base-pairing, i.e. permitting non-standard base-pairing at the 3rd anti-codon position.
Source: RNAcentral